AGAGUUUGAUUCUGGCUCAGGAUGAACGCUGGCGGCGUGCCUAACACAUGCAAGUCGAACGAAGCACUUCUGGUUGGAGAUUCGUCGAAGACCGGAUUUGACUUAGUGGCGGACGGGUGAGUAAUGUAUGAGCAACCUGCCUUUCAGAGGGGGGACAACAGUUGGAAACGACUGCUAAUACCGCAUAAUGUAUUGAUGGGGCAUCCCGUUGAUACCAAAGGAGCAAUCCGCUGAAAGAUGGGCUCAUAUCUGAUUAGUUAGUUGGCAGGGUAACGGCCUACCAAGACUGCGAUCAGUAGCCGGACUGAGAGGUUGAACGGCCACAUUGGGACUGAGAUACGGCCCAGACUCCUACGGGAGGCAGCAGUGGGGAAUAUUGGGCAAUGGGCGAAAGCCUCGACCCAGCAACGCCGCGUGAAGGAAGAAGGUCUUCGGAUUGUAAACUUCUUUUAUGAGGGACGAAGGACGUGACGGUACCUCAUGAAUAAGCCACGGCUAACUACGUGCCAGCCGCGGC
This 517-nucleotide ribosomal RNA is filed under the name uncultured bacterium. Its description in RNAcentral is "bacterial SSU rRNA". It matches the Rfam family "Bacterial small subunit ribosomal RNA", at positions 8 to 518 of the family's 1533-position model. The record is from RNAcentral.